Molecule: non-coding RNA, 1069 nt
Organism: Paramuricea clavata
Lineage: Eukaryota; Metazoa; Cnidaria; Anthozoa; Malacalcyonacea; Plexauridae
Source: the annotation of a GenBank genome assembly
CCCGGCUGGCUUGCUUAAGCAAGCUAAGUGUUAUUGCUCCGUUCACAAGAAUAUUUUGUUGUAAAUAAGAGUUUCUCGUCAGAUUUCGAUCUUAAAAGGUCUCUGUGAACGAUUCUGUGGGUUAUACAGUAACCGUGAAGUUGCUCGCAAAAGUGCCAAUUUUUGGUUUUUGAGAAAAUAUAUUUGUAUUAUACUAUUUUAUAGCAGUGAGCCCUGUGGUUUGUUUUGGUGAGCCAGCCCGCCUCAAAAGUCUCAUGUGUAAACACAGUCUCAACAAAGCGAACUACUUCGGUUAACUGGGGGGAACCCAAGCUAGCUUCCUUCAUAUAAACAGCCCUGUAGAUGCAAACGACUAUUUCCGUCAAUUUUAAAAUUUCACCCUAUACCCUUGCAGUCUAUUUGGAAAUCUUCUUGGGGCUAUCAGCCCAACACUUGAGGCAGUGGCUGACACUGAGUCUAAUAAAACAAAAUAAAAUAAAAUAAAAAGUACAUAUAUAAGUCCACUGAAGGCAUUGAAUUCUACCGUCGUGAUGCUGAGGACAUGCACUCGACCAUAUUUUAAAUCUACGGUUGAUACUUUUUCCCGAUGGUUUAAUACAUUUCUUCAUUUUAAAAUUUGCGAGUCCGGCAUUAACGUUUUCCGUAAAAACCCGAUCAAGAUUCGAAGAAUAUUUACGUAUUAGCAUGCAUCUUUAUGAGCGAUUUUCUUCUAGCAACAGGAAAGCCUUUCCAGGGCAUGCAGGAGUAAUUUUCGAAAUCUAUUUCUUGAAUAAAGUGGUGUUGGUGCAUAUUUUUGGAGGUCCGAUGGAAAAGUACGUUAAUUUGUGCAGUCUUGCGUUCCCAGGGUUCGAAACUCGUAUAGUGUGUGCACUGCCACUGGGCCUGUAAAGGUAUCUUGAACAAAACAACCUGAUGAUAUCGUCUACCCAAAAUUUAGUUCAGGCUACGCUAUCUAGGCAAGAUAAUUACAACAGAACCCAGCCUAGUCCCAGGCUCUCUCUAUUCGCUGCUUUGAUAUAUUUAAAUAAGUCUUAAAAGUUUUAUGCCUGGGUGUGCUGUGCGGAACGCU